GGAGCUGGUUCCAGGAAAGAAGGGCACAUGAGCAAACAUGAUGGCCCCUUUAUGAGAGGUAAUUUACUGAAAUGCACAGCGAUUACCUGCUCAUCCAGCCCUGAUGUAAUUAAAAAUGGCAGGCUAGGGGCUCUGUUUCCCCCGGCUCUGGCAGAGAAACCUGGGUUUCGACUUGUGAAGCUUGAGGUUGGAUGUGGGAAUUGGCUUGGAGUCGUAGGCGAUGAGAGGGACAUUAGGAUUAUCAAGCCCGUGAGCUCAACUCCUGAGAAGGACACAGCAGAGCGAGAGAAAAGAUGGAAUAAAAAGGCCUACCUCAUUGGGCUCGUGUGGGUGAGGAGAACUGAAGAGUCUGAGAGCGCGGCACGAGCCAGAGGCUACGGAAAACACUGCCCUCCUACACUCCACCUUGGAGAGACCCAGAAAAGAACAAGCUUCAUUUGUAAAAAAGGAAAACAGCUCAUGGGGGUGGCUUAAAGGCACUCUACAGUGUGCAGAUGCCUUCUACUUCUUCCAUCUGCCCUGUCUUUCCAAGAACCCCUAUGGCCCCAGGCUCAGAACAGAGCUGAGUGCAGAAAUGAAAAUCUAUGGCUCUGUGUUCCAAAAUGAUGAAGAAUUUCAAGAUGGUGGCAGUGGUAAAAUCCUUCUCCAGGAAAAAUCUGUCCUUGGCCCAAUGUGUAAACACUUGCUGAGUAUUGUGAAACCAGCAACUUGUUCACAAUUCUUCUGAAUUUCUUGGGAAAUUUGAAGUGGAGUACCUGUACCAACAUGAAAUGACACGAAUUUAAGUGAAGCUCAACAACGAAAAGCAAAAAGAACCAAAGAGGAAGCAACUGAAACAACAUCUGGAUGUAUUUAAAAAUAUACAAUGCCUCCAAAAUCAGGUGUCAUUAAUGAAAAUUCUGAAGAAAUGCCACCGGACAUAGCCAACACACCUACGCUAUUGUUAUUCAUUUCCUGCUUUUCACAGAAAACAAUUUUGUUGCAUGGAAGAUUGUGAACUUCAAAGAGCAGAGGGGAAACUCUCCCUUGGCCCCUACCCCUCCAAGGCCCCACUUUUUCGUCAACACUCCUUGGACGCAGCAGAAGUAUGAACAUAAUAUGGUCCUGAAUGAGGCUGAGUCUUUGGGCGCAGAAGACCCGGGUUAAUAAAAAUAGGAAGGUAAGAAAAGAAAAGAAAAAUCAAGACACAUCAUAGGACUAAAUUCCUAUUAUUUAUCCACUCAGGAUUGACCACCCUUUUGGGCCAGAUAGUUGUACCCCCAUGUACCAGGUGGGCACAUGAAGACACAAGAAGUGCUGUGAUGGUUCAUUUUGCAUGUCACCUUGCGUGGAGUAUGC
RNAcentral lists this long non-coding RNA (1338 nucleotides) under Pan troglodytes (chimpanzee). RNAcentral's name for it is "lincRNA". Lineage: Eukaryota; Metazoa; Chordata; Mammalia; Primates; Hominidae. The record is from RNAcentral.